Pelobates cultripes (western spadefoot toad) is the source of this 312-nucleotide non-coding RNA. The record is from the annotation of a GenBank genome assembly. NCBI's taxonomy places the organism in Eukaryota, Metazoa, Chordata, Amphibia, Anura, Pelobatidae.
GGCAUAGGCUAAAAUCUAUACAAUUAAUAUUAACAAUGCACCAACAAAUUAUGCAGCGCUGUGCAAUGGGUCAAGUAUUUGUAACCAGAUGAGCUGGACUCACAGGAACAGUGCCCUGCUCAAUGAGCUUACCUUAUAGAGGGUUGCACUACACCUUACAGGCGGUCUUAAGGGCGUAGAGGGAAGAGGCCACAAGCAGCACCCACUAUUCACGUACACAACCACUACGUUGCAGGCCUUUUCGGUCAUGAUCUGAUACCAUUAUUUUUCUAGUAUUUAUUAUUGCAAAAAAAAAAAAAAGGAGUGAUUGCU